This 465-nucleotide ribosomal RNA is filed under the name uncultured bacterium. RNAcentral's name for it is "partial 16S ribosomal RNA". It matches the Rfam family "Bacterial small subunit ribosomal RNA", at positions 28 to 507 of the family's 1533-position model. The record is from RNAcentral.
GACGAGCGCUGGCGGCGUGCUUAACACAUGCAAGUCGAACGGAAAGGCCCUGCUUGCAGGGUACUCGAGUGGCGAACGGGUGAGUAACACGUGGGUGAUCUGCCCUGCACUUCGGGAUAAGCCUGGGAAACUGGGUCUAAUACCGGAUAGGAGCCAUUUUUAGUGUGAUGGUUGGAAAGUUUUUUCGGUGUAGGAUGAGCUCGCGGCCUAUCAGCUUGUUGGUGGGGUAAUGGCCUACCAAGGCGGCGACGGGUAGCCGGCCUGAGAGGGUGGACGGCCACAAUGGGACUUAGGUUCGGCCCAGGCUUCUACGGGGGGGAGGAGUUGGGAAUAAUUCACAAAGGGCGCGAGCCUGAUGCCGCGACGCCGCGUGGGGGAUUACGGGCUUCGGGUUGGAAACCCCUUUCGCUAGGGACGAAGCUUUUUGUGACGGUACCUAGAUAAGAAGCACCGGCUAACUACGUG